CAAGAGGUCACACCCUACCUUCACCCGAUGAUCCUGAGAGGUCGAUGAUCACGUACACCUUUCCUUCUGGCUCCAGAUCAAUCUACAAGUAGAGCCAUGUUUGCCUGGAGCUCUUUGGAGGAUGUUACACACACCCUGGCCCCAGCAAGGAGUUCCAGAGAGAAAACCAGCUGUUGGCUCUUUGGAGCAGCAUUAAACCAGAAGUCUGUCUCGGACAAAGUUCAAAAUGAUCAGGAGCCCUUUUGCACCCCCGAAGCAUGGAAUUCAAACAAUGUAUGCCUUUUGGAGAUUAGAUCAUCACUGUUAACCCCAAACAAAAUGAAACACUUUUUCAUAUCC
Long non-coding RNA from Apodemus sylvaticus (European woodmouse), 339 nucleotides. RefSeq lists it as uncharacterized. NCBI's taxonomy places the organism in Eukaryota, Metazoa, Chordata, Mammalia, Rodentia, Muridae. The transcript is spliced from 2 exons. The record is from RefSeq and is a predicted model, not a curated record.